AUACGUAGGGUGCAAGCGUUAAUCGGAAUUACUGGGCGUAAAGCGUGCGCAGGCGGUUUUGUAAGACAGUGGUGAAAUCCCCGGGCUCAACCUGGGAACUGCCAUUGUGACUGCAAGGCUGGAGUGCGGCAGAGGGGGAUGGAAUUCCGCGUGUAGCAGGGAAAUGCGUAGAUAUGCGGAGGAACACCGAUGGCGAAGGCAAUCCCCUGGGCCUGCACUGACGCUCAUGCACGAAAGCGUGGGGAGCAAACAGGAUUAGAUACCCUGGUAGUCCACGCCCUAAACGAUGUCAACUGGUUGUUGGGGAUUUAUUUUCUCAGUAACGAAGCUAACGCGUGAAGUUGACCGCCUGGGGAGUACGGCCGCAAGGUUAAAACUUAAAGGAAUUGACGGGG
This 395-nucleotide ribosomal RNA is filed under the name uncultured bacterium. RNAcentral's name for it is "partial 16S ribosomal RNA". It matches the Rfam family "Bacterial small subunit ribosomal RNA", at positions 523 to 918 of the family's 1533-position model. The record is from RNAcentral.